UGGGGAAUCUUGCGCAAUGGGGGAAACCCUGACGCAGCAACGCCGCGUGGGUGAUGAAGGUCUUCGGAUCGUAAAGCCCUGUCGGAGGGGAAGAUGCUUGUCGUUGCUAAUAGUAGCGAUAGGUGACGGUACCCUCAAAGGAAGCACCGGCUAACUCUGUGCCAGCAGCCGCGGUAAUACAGAGGGUGCAAGCGUUGUUCGGAAUUAUUGGGCGUAAAGGGAGUGUAGGCGGUCCUUUAAGUCUUCUGUGAAAGCUGCGGGCUCAGCCUGCAAAGUGCAGAGGAAACUGGAGGACUUGAGUGUCGGAGAGGAUAGGGGAAUACCCAGUGUAGAGGUGAAAUUCGUAGAGAUUGGGUGGAACACCAGUGGCGAAGGCGCCUGUCUGGCUGACAACUGACGCUGAGACUCGAAAGCAUGGGGAGCAAACAG
RNAcentral lists this ribosomal RNA (429 nucleotides) under uncultured bacterium. RNAcentral's name for it is "bacterial SSU rRNA". It matches the Rfam family "Bacterial small subunit ribosomal RNA", at positions 355 to 775 of the family's 1533-position model. The record is from RNAcentral.